Molecule: ribosomal RNA, 345 nt
Filed under: uncultured eukaryote
Lineage: Eukaryota
Description: SSU rRNA
Rfam family: Eukaryotic small subunit ribosomal RNA
Source: RNAcentral
CAAUAGCGUAUAUUAAAGUUGUUGCGGUUAAAAAGCUCGUAGUUGGAUUUCUGCUGAGGACGACCGGUCCGCCCUCUGGGUGUGCAUCUGGCUCGGCCUGGGCAUCUUCUUGGAGAACGUAUCUGCACUUGACUGUGUGGUGCGGUAUCCAGGACUUUACUUGAGGAAAUUAGAGUGUUUCAAGCAGGCAUACGCCUUGAAUACAUUAGCAUGGAAUAAUAAGAUAGGACCUCGGUUCUAUUUUGUUGGUUUCUAGAGCUGAGGUAAUGAUUAAUAGGAUAGUUGGGGGCAUUCGUAUUUAACUGUCAGAGGUGAAAUUCUUGGAUUAUCGGAAGAUGAACUUCU